This is a non-coding RNA of Ovis aries (sheep), 61 nucleotides long. NCBI's taxonomy places the organism in Eukaryota, Metazoa, Chordata, Mammalia, Artiodactyla, Bovidae. The record is from Rfam.
GUGGCUCAGAUGGUAAAGCGUCUGCCUGCAAUGCAGGAGAUGCGGGUUCAAUUCCUGGGUC